Molecule: long non-coding RNA, 7519 nt
Filed under: Equus caballus (horse)
Lineage: Eukaryota; Metazoa; Chordata; Mammalia; Perissodactyla; Equidae
Description: lncRNA (ENSECAG00000052231.1)
Source: RNAcentral
CGACAUGUUGCUCAAGUGGAACCCAUGUAACAGAACUUAUUCAUUACUUGUCUCUGUUCUCAAAUAUUUACACCUUUUGCUGCUGUGAAAAAAAUCUUUAAGUCUUAGUUAUCAAUUUUUCCCUAUUGCAGCCGAAAGAGGAGAGUUUCGAAAAGCAGUAGAACCCUAUAGGGUCACAUUCUGCAGAAAGGCACAGGAGAAAACAAAAUGCGCUGCAAUCUUGGAUUUUGUAGAAAUUCAAGCGGGAAGAGGCCUCCGUGUGCUUGACAGCGCCAGGGGUGUCCAGCAGGCUAGGGGCUUUGCCUUAAGGGGCGGCAUUAGUUGCCCACUGUUCAAGGGUUAACCCUUAGCCUUGCUGCCGCAGAAACCUAGUUUUCUAUGGCGACAGUGCUUUGCAACCCAGCUGUACCUUAGGAUCGCCUGGAUAACUUACAGAAUGUAGAUGCCCACUACCCCUAGGGAUUAUUUCACAUGUCUGGGCUGGGGUCCCACCAUCAUGGUAAUUUUAAAAGCUCCCAGGUUAUUGUCGUGUGCAGCCAGGAGAACUGACAUACACUUACAAUAGGGACAUUUAUGAGCAGCUCUGGGAUAUUCAGAUGGACAAACCUGAUUUUAGGCCAGAAUGCCUUUUUAUGGAUUUAAAAUGAGAUAUGUAAUUGAAUGAGUGACUGGAUGUACUUGUGGAUGCGAACCCAGCAUUUACCUCCGGCGAGUAAGAGAGUUGGUUUUGGAGCAGCGUAGAUCUGCACCCGAAGGUUGGCUGGGUGUGUUGAAUGGCAGCAGGCCAAGAGGGUUUGAGGUGUUUACCCACAUGAUGGUGAUGGUUUCCCCAGUGAGGCCAGAAUGUUGAAAGUCUGCAGGUCAGACUGUCCCCCGCCUACAAAAUAUCUGGCUGGACACAGCCAGCGCUUGCCUUUCUAUGUCAUGCGUGACCGUGUCCAGGGCUGAACAAUGUCUCCUUCCCCUUCCUGUGGUUCCUUCUUUCUGUGCCUUUAUGCGUGCACACAUUCUGGUACCUGGAGUGUUUUUGGGCCUGGGAGAUUUUCUCUCUUCCUCCUCUUCUUGCCUGCUCUCUCUCUUGCUGCUCUCUCUUGCCCUUCUCCUCUCUCCUACUCCUCAGAUAUUUUCCGCCUCAGACCUGAAUCAGCCAUUUCUCCAGAAAGACAUGGUAUCUUUUAAUGCAAAAUGGUGUUUCUAGACCACCAUCUGGGCACUUGGGAUGCUAGCUUUAUUGGGUUGACCGUUGUUUCUAGACCUUUUUCAGUAGACAGAGCUGAGAAAACUACAUUAAAGAGGGACUGUGAGAAUGAAUGUGGUAGAUUUAAAUGUACUGGUGAAUCCAUACUGAUAUUUCCAACCAGAAUUCACGACUACAAGGGUUUUACUUAACCUCUUCUAUCAUCUGUUCUUUCUUUCACACCAAGACUUCUGGUUUUCAAGUACAUAGGGAAUGACAGAAUUGAAUAUCCCUAAUUACUCAUUUACUUUAUCUCACACUACACAACUGGCAGUCUCAGAAUAACAACACUAAUACCAGCAUCAAGUAUGAUACUGAAAACAGUCCCAAAACUUUCUUUGCAUAUGCUGUCCCUAUCCUCCACCGUUUAAAAAAAAAAAAAAGGUUGUUGUACUAGAUGAUUGUGGUAGGCUGAAUAAUGGCCCCUCAAAAGGUAUCGGGUCCUAACCUCUGGAACCUGUGAAUGUUACUUUAAAAGGUGAAGACUUUGUAUACGUGAUUAAGUUAAGGAUCUUGAGAUGGGAAGAUUACCCGGGAUUAUCUGAGUGGGCCCUAAAUGCCAUGACAAGUGUCCUUAUAAAAGGGAGGUUACACGCAGAAGAGGAAAAGACAGCGUGAUGGAGGUGGAGAUUGGAAUGAUGCAGCCACAAGCCAAGGAAUGCUGGCAGCCACCAGAAGCUGGAAGAGGCAAGGGAUAGAUUCUCUCCUAGAGCUUUCCAAGGGAGGGCAGCCUGCUCGCACUUUGAUUUCUGUCUACUGAAACUCAUUUUGCACUUCUGGCUUCCAGAACUGUGAGAGAAUAAAUUCCUGUUAUUUUAAGCCACCAACUUUGUGGUAAUUUGUUAUCACAGCCUUGGGAAACUAAUAUAGUCAUGUGGCCAUUACGUAUAAUAAUCUCCGUUAGUUCCUCAAUAACUACAUAUUUAAUACUGACUAAUACUUAUAUGCAUGUCUCGAGUCAUUUUGGUCAUCUCACGUUCAUUGUCUGGUAUCUUUAGGAAGGGCUCAUGGGAACAUUAUUCCCUGAUUUUUUUUUUCGCAUGUUGGCAACCUUUUGUCAAAACCACUGGAUACAGAAUCCUUCACAUUUUCUUUAUCUUAAAUGUUAUUACUCCAUCUCUUUGUGGCAUGAAGCUUGUUGUAAGUCUGAUGAUAAUCUAAUUUUUUCCCUUAUAAUUUGUGUAUUGUUUUUCUUAGAUGCCCAAAUGAUCUUUUUCUUUCAAGUCCAGUAAUUUUCCUAGAGUAUAUCUUGAUAUCCAUCUGACUCAGUAUUCUCAGGUACACAAUAUGCUCUUUCAACAUGAGGUUUCAGAUAUUUUCUUCUUUGGGAAAGUUUCCAUGAAUUGUUUUCUCUGUCUCCCAACUUUAUCUUCUAAUGCCAUGUAGUACCCACAGGCCCCAUCUCUAAGUCACUAUCAGUCUGCCACUAAGAACUCGAAUAAGUCUUGAUGCCACAGCUCCUAGAAUUUUUACCGAAGCCUGCAGUGAGCUAUGAAAAAAGAAAGUUAGGUCAGACUCACGUUCACGACAUAAAACCCCUGCAGAAUCCCAUGGUGGAGCCUCAACUGGACUUAAGGAAAGCUGCUUCACACCCCUUCCUUAGGUCCCCCUUACAGCAAACAGCCCAUGUUCCCAGAAGCACUGAGAGCAGCAGCAGAUGACCUGUAGCUGCCUCCCUAAUGCAGGAUUUAGAGCUGGAAUGGACAGCGACACCUGGCUCAUCCCCACCCACACCUGGACAGCUGGAGCAGUUUGGAAGGGACCAUAACAAGACAGAAGUCAAGGCUCAAUCCUAAACCAGCUGUGUGAUCUUGAAUAAAUCACCAAACUCAUUCAAGCGUGGGUGUCAACUAAAUCCAAAAAAAGGAAGAGACGGCCUCGAAAUGUCCAAGAAUCUGCCACGCGUCCACAUCCACCUCCCGGCCAGGUUCAGGACAAGCCCAGGACACACCUACAGACUCAGCUCAGAUGCUCAGCGGAUGUUUAUUAAACCAUCCAUCCAUCAACAAGACUGUGUUGAUGGUUAGCCCUAACAAGCAUGAUUAGGGUCUGGUUCUCUAAUUCUGUUUGACGGGUUUUGUGGGCUCCAGGGGAAGAAUGAAGCACGCAAAAGUUUACCAAGGCUGACUCAACACACUCCACCAAAACCUAAAUGAGACCAGAGUCUGCAAAACAAGCAAAUAUCACCCUGCCGGCCAACCCAUCUGCUGUCCCAGUGGAAGAUUAGAGUCAGCGGAACUACGAGGACGGGGAAGAAGGAGCAGAACCAAUCCAUGUUUAUGAUGCCAUCAGGGCCACCCCAUCAGACAGCCAAGUCUGCCUUCAGGGUGAGGCAAGAGUAGGCCAAGGCCUUCCUCCCCUCCUGCGGGGUAACAACUCAGUCCCACCCAUCAGCUGAGAGCCAAGCUACGUACUCUGCCAUUGGCACAGGUCUCUCCUACGAUACGUACACUGAUAUAACUCGCUUUGAGGAAGGUCAGGAAGGUCAUGGAUGAGCACUUUACACCUACCGAGGCCUUAAUCAGUCAGAGAAUAACUGGGCUGCCAGAGGAAUCUUAGAGUACAUCUUCUGGGUCACACUUAGGAGAAACACAAGUCCCAGAGGACAAAAAACUACACUGUGGGCCCCGUUCAUAUUGCAUAACUCUGUAGGGCUGCUUAAUGUUUUUCAGAAGUGUCCACAGUAUGUGCUCCACUAAUCUGUACAUAGCCUGAGGGAGAGAUUAAAUGCCUAAUACACACCUAAAGCCCUCACCACCAAAAACACUGCCUGCACGUGAAAAAGUCCCCUUUGCACAUCUGUUCCUGGAUAAUUCUGAAAGUCCACAGGAUAUACCAAGCUUGCAGGAUACCACAGUACAUCACAUAACCCUUGCACCCAACAGGGUCUUGUUCAAGGCUGCAGCCCUAAAACCUCGCAUGGGACCUGACGUGCCACAGAACUCAGUAAAUGACCUACUGAUUGCAAUAAUGAAAUUAUCUUUGAAGAAAACAUAGGCAGUACAGUCUUUGACAUCAGUAUUAAAAGGAUCUUUUCGGACACCAUGCCUUCUCAGAGAAGGGAAACAAUAGAAAGAAUAAACAAAUGGGACUUCAUCAGAUUAAAGAGCUUCUUCAAGGCAAAUGAAAACAGGAUUGAAACAAAAAAACAACCCACUAACUGGGAAAAAAUAUUUGCAAGUCAUAUAUCUGACAAAGGCUUAAUAUCCUUAAUAUAUAAAGAACUCUCGCAACUCAACCACAAAACAUCAAACAACCCAAUCAAAAAAUGGGCUGGAGACAUGAACAGACAUUUCUCCAAAGAAGAUAUACUGAUGGCCAAUAGGCACAUGAAAAGAUGCUCAUCAUCGCUGAUCAUCAGGGAAAUGCAAAUCAAAACUACACUAAGAUAUCACCUGACACCCGUUAGAAUGACAAAAGUAUCUAAAACUAAUAGCAACAAAUGUUGGAGAGGUUGCGGAGAAAAAGGAACCCUCAUACACUGCUGGUGGGAAUGCAAACUGGUGCAGCCACUAUGGAAAACAGUAUGGAGAUUCCUCAAAAAACUAAAAAUAGAACUACCAUAAGAUCCAGCCAUCCCACUACUGGGUAUUUAUCCAAAGAGCCUGAAGUCAGCAAUCCCAAAAGUCCUGUGCACCCCAAUGUUUAUUGCAGCACUGUUUACAAUAGCCAAGACGUGGAAGCAACCUAAGUGCCCAUCAACAGACGAAUGGAUAAAGAAGAUGUGGUACAGGGGCCGGCCCGGUGGCACAGCGGUUAAGUUCGCACGUUCCGCUUCUCGGCGGCCCGGGGUUCGCUGGUUCGGAUCCCGGGUGCGGACAUGGCACUGCUUGGCAGCCAUGCUGUGGUAGGCGUCCCACGUAUAAACUAGAGGAAGAUGGGCACGGAUGUUAGCUCAGAGCCAGGCUUCCUCAGCAAAAAGAGGAGGACUGGCAGUAGUUAGCUGAGGGCUAAUCUUUCUCCAAAAACAAAAACAAACAAACACAAAAACAAACAAACAAAAAAAACACCACACAAAAAAAAGAUGUGGUACAUAUAUACAAUGGAAUACUACUCAGCUGCAAAACAGAACAAAAUCAUUUCAUUUGCAAUAACAUGGAUGGACCUUGAGAGGAUUAUGUUAAGUGAAAUAAGCCAGCGAGAGAAAGAUAAUCUGUGUAUGACUCCACUCAUAUGAGGAAUUUAAAACUAUGGAUCAAGAACAGUUUAGUGGAUACCAGGGGAAAGGUGGGGUGGGGGGUGGGCACAAAGGGUGAAGUGGUGCACCUACAACAUGACUGACAAACAUUAAUGUACAAUUGAAAUUUCACAAGAUUGUAACCUAUCAAUAACUCAAUAAAAAAAAAAGAAAUUAAAGCUGAGAAAGGUGAAAUGACUUGCCCAAAAUCUUAGCAAACAGUUCACGUCAAGGCUGGUACUAAAAAAGGUCUCCAAACACCAGGGUCCUCCAUCUUGCUGUGGCACAAAUAACCAAACUCUCAGGAGCCCUGUUUACAGGUGGGUUAAUGGUCUAAAAAGGUCCCUACAGAACUUGACACACAGGACAAAAGAUGAUUUAACCUUCUAGGACUACCUCAUGACUGAAUUCAGGCUAAACCUUGUCAGCAAGAGCACUGCAUAGUUAGUGCUGUCUGCUCCUUGCACAGCCCAGCUGGUGGCACAGAACGCCCGGUCUGUCAUGUUGUCUUCUGCCAGUUGCUCCUGAUUCCGCUGAUGUGCAGGAUGGGAACUGAGAGCAGCAAGGGUUAAGGUCUCUCAUAACCGUGUGUGGGUCUCCUCACUGACUUAGCGCAGUUGGAGGCCGAAGGGCUGGGAUUUCUCCCGUCCAACCAGCCUUUGCAGUAAAAACCUUGGGGAGUGCUUUGUGGUUGUGAUGUUGAUCUUCAGCAUAGGAUCCCGUCACUGCUGUGUUUGGGUUUUACAUUGAUUUGCUGUUUUAGAAUUUUUUCAUCAAGUGAAAAUGGUACUUUUUGUGAAGUGGUUUCUUUCAAAUCAGUAAUAUCUUUCCUUAGUUCCAGAGAUCUUGGUAUCUGAGAGACAGAAAGAGAAAAUAAAAAUGAAAUGUGAAAAUGGACAGACAGCUGCCAAGUGAACCCUGCCUGGCUCUGGCACCACUGUCAACUCCCAGAAAUCUGGAAGCUGCAAGGUCUGCCUCUCUCCCUACUGGGGCAUGAUGCGGACUUUGGUCACGAACGACUGUCUUGGCCAGGAAUUAGCUGCCACCGUGGAAACGGCAACCGGGCAGAGGCAGACAUGUGUCCUCCGCUGGGUGACAGAAAAAAGAGAGAACGGGAGAGUGCACGCCAUCCGCCGACAGAUGAGCACACCUCCGGCAUCUGACUGCACGUGACCACACUGGAGAAAGAUCACGGAAUUGGCCCAUCUGAGGACCACGGUGAGAAACACAGAGCACUCUGGGAAAGGGACACUUGGCGGUUGCGUGCAUGGGGGAAACGGGGAUAGUCAGUGCUCGCUGAAUUCCCUCGAUCGGAGAUGCCCAGAUGGCCCCUUCCAAUGGAGUCCCGGGAUUCUUCCGAGUUACCUGCAACACAGGCUGUCUUGGAUGCCCCCGUCGUCCUCCGGAUCGGUGUGUUGGCCUGGAAAGAAAUUCGCACGGGGCCAGUCACACUAAGCAGAUCCCCACUCGACCCUUGGGAAUCCAGUGUCCAGUCCCAGCCCAGGGACCUCCACAUCCUCAGUGUGACAACGGCAGACGGGAAGAGCAAUCUGCCAGGAGACCUCAGGCGGUGUCUCGUGAAAGCGCCGGCCUGGCUUUGCUGAGCCAGCGGGCCGCGUCUCCCCGAUCGGGGAGGCCCUCAGAGCAGGAUGCUCUCCCGAGUCUGGGAAAACAGCCAAAGAGGCGUGGGGCUCACACCUUCUGGGGCACCAGCCUAAGAGCCUGCUCGGACAAGUGCUGGGCUACUCAGCCUUCUCUGCGCAGGGACACUAGUUCUGGAGGCUCGAGUCUAACUCAUCGCCUGAGGGGAGAAGGCCGGCUGCACUCUACAAACCCUGGCAUCCAGAGGCAUCGUCGCCCCUGCUCCGCAGAAACACUGGCCACCCUGUGGGCCGGGAGAAGGCCAAGGCAUAGUACUGGUACAAAAACAGGUGCACAGAUCAAUGGAACAAAAUUGAAAGCCCAGAAAUAAAACCACACAUCUAUGGACAGCUUAUCUUUGACAAAGGAGCUGAGGGCAUACAAUGGAGAAAAGAAAGUCUUUUCAACAAAUGAUGCUGGGAAUACUGGAAAGCCACAUGAAAACAAUGAAAAUUGACCAUUCU